RNAcentral lists this ribosomal RNA (322 nucleotides) under uncultured bacterium. RNAcentral's name for it is "bacterial SSU rRNA". It matches the Rfam family "Bacterial small subunit ribosomal RNA", at positions 28 to 334 of the family's 1533-position model. The record is from RNAcentral.
GACGAACGCUGGCGGCGUGCCUAAUACAUGCAAGUCGAGCGGAUCUUGUUAAGGAGCUUGCUCCUUAACUUGGUUAGCGGCGGACGGGUGAGUAACACGUAGGCAACCUGCCCACAAGAUCGGGAUAACAUUCGGAAACGGAUGCUAAGACCGAAUAGGCAGCACUUUCGCAUGAGAGAGCUGAGAAACACGGUGUAAGCUGUGGCUUGUGGAUGGGCCUGCGGCGCAUUAGCUAGUUGGUGGGGUAACGGCUCACCAAGGCGACGAUGCGUAGCCGACCUGAGAGGGUGAACGGCCACACUGGGACUGAGACACGGCCCAG